This 242-nucleotide long non-coding RNA is filed under the name Ananas comosus (pineapple). RNAcentral's name for it is "long non-coding RNA (ACOM_LNC038018)". Lineage: Eukaryota; Viridiplantae; Streptophyta; Magnoliopsida; Poales; Bromeliaceae. The record is from RNAcentral.
CCUAAUCUAAUGCACCGACCUUUCCUAGCGUAAGUGGUAAAACAGUUUGGAGGUUAGUACCCGAGACCUAAUUUUGAAUCAUAGUUGAUUCACAUUUUCAACUAAAUUUAUUUUUAAAUGAAAUAAACAAAACGGAUAGCAUACUAUCUUUUUUUCAAAAAAAAAAUCUAAUCUAAGCCUUCGCCUGGUAUUAUUGUUAUUAUUAUUAUUUUUUUACACUAUGAUUCUAUAUAAUUUAAGAU